GAACGGGAAAGCGGGGGCAAACACUGUGAGUACAGUGGCGUACGGGUGAGUAACACGUGACUACCUACCCUCGAGUGGGGGAUAACCCCGGGAAACCGGGGCUAAUACCGCAUAACAUCGCAGGAUCAAAGGAGCAAUUCGCUUGAGGAGGGGGUCGCGGCUGAUUAGCUAGUUGGUGAGGUAACGGCCCACCAAGGCAAUGAUCGGUAGCCGGCCUGAGAGGGCGCACGGCCACACUGGAACUGAAACACGGUCCAUACUCCUACGGGAGGCAGCAGUGGGGAAUUUUGCGCAAUGGGGGAAACCCUGACGCAGCAACGCCGCGUGGAGGAUGAAGUCCCUUGGGACGUAAACUCCUUUCGACCCGGACGAUAAUGACGGUACGGGUGGAAGAAGCACCGGCUAACUUCGUGCCAGCAGCCGCGGUAAU
RNAcentral lists this ribosomal RNA (430 nucleotides) under uncultured bacterium. RNAcentral describes it as "bacterial SSU rRNA". It matches the Rfam family "Bacterial small subunit ribosomal RNA", at positions 64 to 524 of the family's 1533-position model. The record is from RNAcentral.